UGGUGGUCACUGGUUUGAAGGGAGAAUUGUUGGAAGGCCAAAACUUGGUAGUCAUUGAAGUUCAAACCCAACAAGAAGCAACAUUUUUUUCCAUAAAAUUUCUGAUGGUAUUAAUCUCAGAACUUCAUACAUAUAGAGUUUUGGCUAAUGCCUAAAACAACAUCGAAUUCGGGGUGAACAAACAUGGUACAAGAACCAAAAGAGAUAUAAGUAAAAAAAGAGAAGAUUAGGGGUAAAGGGAGCGAAACUAGAGCAUUAAAGUCUUGGAACUUCGGUAACUGUCUCCUGGCCAAGCAGAUGUUGCGGAUUCUUUUAUCGAGCUGAGGAAAGAGGGCUUCUACUUGAGUGCGUAUACCUGUAAAGAUGCGAGUGUUUCUUUCAUGCCAAAUUGUGUAAAUCACCGCCUGAGCUACCACGAGCUUCAGCAUUGUCAGAUUUGGGUCGUUGUUAGCGGAUCAUAGCCAUAAGAGGAAGCAAUCCCAGGAAUUGAAACCCAUGAAUGGUAAUUUAAGCUUUUGAAGGCACCAUCUCCAAAGAUCAUAAGAGUAAGGGCAUCGCAAGAAAAGAUGAUCCCUUGUCUCGAAGUAAAUUUCACAGAGGAAGCAAGAGUCGUCUUCUACCGUUCCCUAGGUUCUUAGUCGUGACAAAGUUGGAAGUCUGUCAAAGCAGCAGAGCCACAUAACAAAAGAAUGCUUGGGAACAGCGCCAGAGAACCAAACUUGAUUAUGCCAGGGCACUUCUUGGUGUGGAGGCUUGAGGAGCUCCCAUGUCUCAGAGAAGCUAAAUCGAGUAUGCGGAUCAGCAUUCGGUCUAGCCCACAGGUAAGUAUCUUGUGUAUUUUCUACGAGUUGAGUGUUGGUGAGGUGGGUAAAGAGGAGUUCCAUAUUCUGGCUACGAGCUCGUCGCCGGAAUAUACUCCUGUUCCUUGUAUACGCCUUAGCCACUGUGGAGUCUAGUGGUAAGCCUAUUCUUUGGUGUCCAUCGGUUCCCAGGUAAGUAAAUAGAUCUCCAAAAGGAGUCCACUUAUCAAACCAGAAGGAGCAAUUUCUACCAUCACCAAUUUGACAAGACAGGAAAGAUUUGGCAGUUUCUCUCAGCUUGAGAAGUUGUUUCCACAUCGAGGAUCCCUUACUCGAAGCAGGAAGUCUCCAAAAACAUUUCCGGCUCAUCUUAUUCUUUCUACACCAUGCAACCCACAAAGACCCCGAAGCAGAGAAAAGUUUCCAAAUGAGUUUGAGACCAAAUCCCUUAUUCCACGCUUUCAGAUCUUUUAGACCAAGUCCUCCUUCUUUCGGAGUACAAACUUGUCUCCAACUAACUUCGGCUUGCUUUUGGAUUUCACUUGCACCCGACCAUAGGAACCUUCUACAGAGCUUCUCAUGGUCCUUUAUACACUUAGCCGGUAGGAUAAAGGCUGCACACCAAUAAGCUAUAAUGUUCUGGAUCACUGAAGUUAAGAGUUGCAGACGCCCUGUAUUGGAGAGAUGUCUGUUUUGCCAGGUCUGGAGCUUUCUCCUGAUUCUUUGGAUUAAUGGUUCACAAUCAGAACGAGUGAGCGGUUUGGCAGCAGCGGGAAACCUAGAUAUUUCACCGGUAGGCAGCCCAUGGAAAAACCAAAGGAAGAGUUACAUCUGUUCUGAUCAGCCACAGAAGAGCCAACAAAGAAAAGUUCUGUUUUGUUUCUAUUAAGGAUCAACCCAGAGAUAUUCGAGAAAUACCCUAACAGAUUUACGAUAGCUUGCAGGGAAGAGUGUUCUCCAUCAAAGAACACCAUUACAUCAUCAGCAAAGAUCAUAUGAGUCACAGGGGGGUUUGACGCCUUAGGGUGAUAUCCGAUUUGGUCAGCUUGGUAUCUCAAGUCGAGAAGCCUGGAGAAUAUAUCCAUCCCAAUCACAAAAAGCAACCAAGAUGUCUAGGAUGAAGCUCCAUUCAAUUGAAUCAAAAGCUUUCUGGAGGUCAAUUUUGAGCAUUCCUCUUUUAGAGAUCCCAGAGUUGUUGUACCCUUGCACUAACUCGGAUGCAAGGAGGACAUUUUCCACUAUUUGAUGGUCCUUUAUGAAGGCGGUCUAGUUCUCUUGAAUCAUCUCUGGUAACAGGUUCUGAAGUCGUCUAGCCAGGAGCUUUGAAAUAAUCUUAUAGAUAGCAUUCAAACAAGAGAUGGGCCGGUAUUCAGUGACUGUUUCAGCAGUUGUAGUCUUGGGGAUCAUUGAAACAGUUGUGGAAUUCCAACUAGGUUCCAUCUUGCCGUGAAUAAAGAAGCUCUGAACUGCAAGAGUUACUUCUGAGCCAAUGAUAUCCCAACUAUGCCUAAAGAACUCACCCGUAUAUCCAUCAGGUCCAGGAACUUUAUCUCGUGGGAGGGCAAAGAAUUCAGCCUUGAUUUCUUGGGCGGUGAAUCCUCUGUUUAAGCUUGUUCGCUGAGCCUCUGAGCACCUAAAGGGGUGAAUGGACUGGAUACAAGCCUUGAGGCAAGGGGUACUACGCGAGGAACCAAAGAGGGACUCAUAGUAUUCGACGCAAGCUUCCUUGAUAGCAGUUUUUUCUGUAAUGACUGUUCCAUCUCCAAGACGCAGUCUCUUGAUUCCAUUGAAGGCGUUUUUUAUGACCACAUUUUUGUGGAAAAAACUUGUAUUCUCGUCACCAUCAGAGAUCUACUUGAGACCAGAUUUUUGAUGCAGGAAUGUUGCUUCGGCUGCAGACAGUUUCUGCCAUGUAAGAUAUGCCUGACGUUCUUCAGCUGCCGUCUCUGAAGAGGGGGAGGUAAACAACGUAGCUUGUGCUGCCUUGAGAUCCGCAAAAGCACCUCUCACUCUGUUUUCUAUCCCUGAGUAAGCUUCUCUAUUGAGCUCUCUAAGCUUACCUUUGAGUUUUUUAAUCUUUUGGGUUAUCUGGUACAUUAGAGAACCUGCCACUGGGGUAGAAUUCCAACACUCUCGCACGAUCUGAAGGAAAUUAUCAUGUUGCAAUAAGUGGUGGUUAAACCUGAAGGGCCUGAUUAUCCUCGGUCUUUUAUCUUGGAAUCUAAUACAGCAAGAUGCAUGAUCUGAGAAUAGAGGUUCUUUGAAAGUGGCAAUGGAAGUCGAGAAUUCAGCAAGGCAGUAUUAAUUGCCAAGCAACAAGAAGCAACAUACCAUAGAGCUACUACAUUAAUGUGGGUAUAUCUCCCCUCCUAGCGGACACCAUCAUGUAGAGUCAUGUCAAGAAAAAUCCUUAAAACAUAUAAUGUCAGAUCUAGGCCUAAACGCCAAUAAUUCUAACACAUGGGCCUUGCGUGUAAUAGCAAUAAUGAAUGACUCAACGAUAUUAAUAUAUUUGAUGAAUUCGUUUCUGUU
This is a long non-coding RNA of Camelina sativa (false flax), 3332 nucleotides long. RefSeq lists it as uncharacterized. The record is from RefSeq and is a predicted model, not a curated record. Lineage: Eukaryota; Viridiplantae; Streptophyta; Magnoliopsida; Brassicales; Brassicaceae.